Bactrocera oleae (olive fruit fly) is the source of this 593-nucleotide long non-coding RNA. RefSeq lists it as uncharacterized. The record is from RefSeq and is a predicted model, not a curated record. NCBI's taxonomy places the organism in Eukaryota, Metazoa, Arthropoda, Insecta, Diptera, Tephritidae.
GAGAGAUUUAUGUAUACAUAUAUGUAGACAUACAUAUACAUAUGUAUAUAUUUGACACAUGUAAACUUAUGUUGGCCUGCCGUUGAACUUAAAGAAUUACAAAUGACACAGGCCACUUGCAUAUGCAUACAUAUUUGUAUAUCUGUAAGUAUGUAUGUAUAUAUGUAUAUACAUACGCAUGUAAAAACACACAUCAGCUAUGCAAAUGCAGUCACUUUUUAUGUUCUUCACUCUCUUUUUGUCGCUUAUCUACAAAGGAAGUUCAGUUUGAUCAGAUGUAUUGCAUUUUUAAUAGUUUACCUGCGCUUGUAGAUGUGUGUGCGGACAAGUGAAGGAGUGGAAAACAUGUACACUGAUUUUCUUAAUUGCUUUGAUGGAGGCAAAUUUAUUAAGCAGGAAGGCUCAACUCUAAGGCGCGUAUUCUAAUAUUAAAAGAUUAGAUAAGCCAAUUAGCCGGAAUCAUGGAGGAAGUGCGAGCCCAUUUUUUUUGAGGCGGAGGUGUUCAGAAAGCUGUAACUCAUGUUCUACACAAUAUUUUUAGCUUAAAAUGUAUUUUUAUACUGUCGAAAUAUAUGUUGAUAAAUGAUGAUAAA